Molecule: antisense RNA, 66 nt
Filed under: Citrobacter portucalensis
Lineage: Bacteria; Pseudomonadati; Pseudomonadota; Gammaproteobacteria; Enterobacterales; Enterobacteriaceae
Also listed under: 1 other name
Description: rdlD antitoxin
Rfam family: rdlD antitoxin
Source: RNAcentral
GUUCAGGUUCAAGUCAGCCCCCGUUUUGUUGCCAGGUUUAUACCGAACAACGUGCGGGGGUUUUCU